Molecule: ribosomal RNA, 1410 nt
Filed under: metagenome
Description: SSU rRNA
Rfam family: Eukaryotic small subunit ribosomal RNA
Source: RNAcentral
CCUGGUUGAUCCUGCCAGUAGUCAUAUGCUUGUCUCAAAGAUUAAGCCAUGCAUGUCUAAGUAUAAACAACUUUAUACUGUAAAACUGCGAAUGGCUCAUUAAAUCAGUUAUAGUUUAUUUGAUAGUACCUUACUACUUGGAUAACCGUAGUAAUUCUAGAGCUAAUACAUGCGAAAAGACCCGACUUUUUGGAAGGGUUGCAUUUAUUAGAUACAAAACCAAUGGCCAGCAAUGGUCACACUUGGUGAUUCAUAAUAACUUUUGCGGAUCGCAUAGCUUUACGCUGGCGACGAAUCAUUCAAAUUUCUGCCCUAUCAACUUUCGAUGGUACGGUAUUGGCCUACCAUGGUUACAACGGGUAACGGGGAAUUAGGGUUCGGUUCCGGAGAGGGGGCCUGAGAAAUGGCCACCACAUCCAAGGAAGGCAGCAGGCGCGCAAAUUACCCAAUCCUGAUACAGGGAGGUAGUGACAAUAAAUAACAAUGCAGGACCUUUACGGGUUUUGUAAUUGGAAUGAGUACAAUUUAAAUCUCUUAACGAGUACCAAUUGGAGGGCAAGUCUGGUGCCAGCAGCCGCGGUAAUUCCAGCUCCAAUAGCGUAUAUUAAAGUUGUUGCAGUUAAAAAGCUCGUAGUUGAAUCUCGGAGUCCUUUUUUCUUCGGAAACGCCGAUGGUCGGAAACCCAGAGCCUCGAAAGGGGUGGAUGGGGCUGUUUACUUGAGGCAGGGCUCACAUCUGAGUUUCUCGAAGGUGGCCUCUGCUCUUCACUGGGUUGGGGGACUUUUUCACAUUCGAGACAUUUACUUUGAAAAAAUUAGAGUGUUCAAAGCAGGCAGUUUCGCUUGAAUACAUUAGCAUGGAAUAAUGGAAUAGGACUUUGGUCUUAUUUUGUUGGUUUCUAGGACUGAAGUAAUGAUUAAUAGGGACAGUUGGGGGCAUUAGUAUUUAAUUGUCAGAGGUGAAAUUCUUGGAUUUAUGAAAGACUAACUUCUGCGAAAGCAUUUGCCAAGGAUGUUUUCAUUAAUCAAGAACGAAAGUUAGGGGAUCGAAGACGAUUAGAUACCGUCGUAGUCCUAACCAUAAACUAUGCCGACUCGGGAUCGGUGAGCGUGUUUUUUUACUACCUCAUCAGCACCGUAGGAGAAAUCAAAGUUUUUGGGUUCUGGGGGGUGUAUGGUCGCAAGGCUGAAACUUAAAGGAAUUGACGGAAGGGCACACCAGGUUUGGAGCCUGCGGCUUAAUUUGACCCAACACGGGGAAACUCACCAGGUCCAGACAUCGUAAGGAUUGACAGAUUGAGAGCUCUUUCUUGAUUCGAUGGAAAGUGGUGCAUGGCUGUUCUUAGUUGGUGGAUUGCUCUGUCUGGUUCAUUCCGUUAACGAACGAGACCUUAACCUGCUAAAUAGUUAC